GGAAGUAGACGCUGGUGGGUGUUGGCUGGUGUCUGCCAGCGGGAGAAGCUGAAUAACACUCAAUUAGACGGACUAUAAUCUCACAGUCUUUGCGGGAAACUAGUUAAAGACAUGGAACAGUUACUGUGCCGUUUCCCCCCACCGUUUGGGACUUGAGAGGACCUCUGACUCUAGUGACCAGUCAUGGGAAAACCUUAACAGUGUGGGAGCUCAGAUUACGUCUGCCGUGUUUCAUGAGGCAGAGCUGGUUGUCUGCAGAGCACAAGGUGUUUGGCUUUCUUAAUUCAGUGUAAUUGAUUGGCAAAGAAUACCACAUUGAUUCAGUCACUCAGCCUGCCUGUGUCUGACACAGGAGUAAUAGCCACUCGACAUUUUCAUCUGCCAAAAUAAUGCCUUUUUUUUUCAGAGUCAGGUUGAACCCUUUAUCAUAUUGAAGAAGGUGGAGGUAGCAGCAGGGCAGAGAGGGAGAGGAGGCACGGGAACAGCUAAUGAGGUCAAAGAGUUCAAAUGCUGGGUCACGCAAACACUGUUGAGCAGGUUAAAGGAGCUGUCCACAGAAGUGUGUGGCACCUUUUUCUUCUGUCAUGUGACAUCCUCACACAGAGAGUGGAGCAGGCUAAACAGCAGCAGUCUGGCAAACGGGGGUGAUUCAGACGAGCAGAUGAACACAGUUAUGCAUGGACAAAUCCCAUGUUUGCUGGGUAGGUUUGACCAGCCAGCUGCCUGCAUGAUGAUGUGAGCCUUUAAUGUUCAUCCAAACUUGUUUUUUUUAAUCAACUUUGAAAGUUUUUUCUAGUGAAUAUCUAUCUAUUAGCUAUUAUUAUCUAAUAAUAUAAUAUUAUUAUAUAAUAUUAUUUAAUAAUAUUGAAACUAUGAUACAUCCUGUGAAAAAAGAUGCUGCAGUUAUUUUAAAAAAUGCUUUAAUUAGUUUCAAAUGAGAUUUUUGUGUUGAUCUCUCCCACACUCAUGAAGUUAUGAGGCCUCAGAAAUACUAAAAUCAUAAAUCAAACUUUAAGUCGGCCUUUUUAUUUACAGCAAGGUUUAUGAUAAGAAUGUAAAAAUGUGCUUGGCUGCAUUAUAUGGAUCAUAAUGUAUGUAAAUUUAGUGAAGUCUACCAAACAAGAGAGCAGCUGGUUCAAGUCCAGCCCUGAAUAAUAUUUCUUGAACUUGUGGCAACAUUUAGUAUAAGUCAACAGAACCGGCUCUGAGCUGCUUAUAUUUAAUUUUAAUUUCAAAUCAAAGCCACAUAAAACAUUUUAGACACUUGAGAUUAAAAGUGUUUGUCACGCCCUGCUCUGACUGAGCUCUUUGUAGAGGUUAGGUCACAAGUUGGCCUAAUUUUGGUACAUUAUAACAGUGCGUGCAAAAUAGCAUACCGCAAGGUACUUUCUAUAGUACAGGAAAUCUGUGGUCUACCAGUUCUAAAGCGAGGUUGAAAACUGCUCAUGGUUAUCACACUGUGCUUGAGCCGUGUGCAAAUUCCCUGCUGACUCGGCCUCAGGAUGUCUAGAGGCAAGAAUCAAGCGCACCCAAAUGAGCGCAUCAGUGGUCAUGUGCACAUCACGCAGAGGGAGAGUGAGAGAGGAAAGGCACAGCAGCAGAGCAUGGCAGUUGUAACGCAGUUUGUGUGAUUCCGUGUGCGUUAAUGAAACUGUGACGUGAUGAUGAUGCUCAUCUUCAUUUCCAACUGUGUGGGUGAUGGAGGCUGAGGAUUGUGUGGAUGAUCAGGAGCUUCACUCUCAAUCCUGACCUCCUCCUUCUGCUUCAGUGGUUUCUGGCUUCAUAACUUGGUCACCAUGGCGACCAUCUGGAUGACUGAGGUCCCUGAUUUGACUUUCUGAGAAUCAGGCUGGUGCUGAACAUCAGGCUGUUAACUGCAGAGCAUCAGACCUUAUCUGUGGAUCCUCCCGACGGUUUCUCUCCCAACUCCUGGAGUUGGAGGACAUGGAUUCAUGGAGGACUUCAGCUUCUUGCAGCUGCUCCUGCUGAUAGAUGUCAUUGCUGUCUUCUCCCUCUGCACUGGCUGCUACGUCUUCUUUGUUUCUGCUUUUCUCUUUGUCAUGACUGUGAAUCAGGCAGCUGUGCUGAAAAUAUGAUUGUUCUCCUUAUAAUAAAAGCUGGAAGCUGAAAAUCCUGCCUGUGCUGAGACAUUUUUUCAUGCAUGAUCUUCACAGCAAAAACAAACACAGGACAAAGGAAACUGUGGGUGAUGUCAUCUUUAGUUCAUAGAAAAAUAUAUAAAAAUAUUAAAGACACCACAUUCAUUUUAAGAGCCAAUCACAAAAUGAGUGUAGAUCAUUGAACCAAACAGCCCAGAAUGUGUUAUUAUUAUUAGUAUUCUUAAUAUUACUUAUCAGUAAUAUGGACAGUUGAAUGUUUUGGCACCUGCAUUAUUCUCAUUUUCAUUGUCAGACAUUAUCAGUUCUGUUGUUGGCUGAUUGUUGUAAACUUGUUAUAACAGAAGGGAGAUCGUUCUGGGCAGCAGAAAUGAGGAAACGUGAAAAAUGUGAAGAAACUGUUGACAGUAAUUUAUUAAAG
Molecule: long non-coding RNA, 2538 nt
Organism: Oreochromis aureus
Lineage: Eukaryota; Metazoa; Chordata; Actinopteri; Cichliformes; Cichlidae
Source: Ensembl